Oncorhynchus tshawytscha (Chinook salmon) is the source of this 1077-nucleotide long non-coding RNA. NCBI's taxonomy places the organism in Eukaryota, Metazoa, Chordata, Actinopteri, Salmoniformes, Salmonidae. The record is from Ensembl.
AACAUUCAUUGUGUUAUUGCAUUAAUACAGUUUAAACAGUAGAUAUUUGGGGGAAGUUACUAACAUAAAAGUGGAAUAUUGGAAUAUGUCUGACAAGAGGAACAGUCCUGCCCAGUGUGAAAGCCAACACACACAGCCUUACACACUCAGCUCCCUGUAUUCUACAGCUGCACUGCUACAGCUUCACCUAGAGGGGGCGAUAGAAACAACCAGAUUUAAGGGACAGGACAAACAAGACCAAUGACAGACAACACAUCUUAUCUGAAAGGCUCUCCUGACAUAGCUGUCCCAAUAGAGUCACUAUGAUCCAGAAACUGACUGGCCAUAGGACAUUUUGGAGCCAGAUGGACCGGUCCAUCUUUAAGCACAGUGGGCUGGCCUAAAUUGGGUGUUUGCAAAGAACAACUGUUUUGGGGGCGGGGGGGGUAGUGUGUAUGAAAAUACAUGUAAAUGUUGAAAAGAAAAACAGUCACAUUAUCAAUCAUCACAGAUCACUGCACCUGUACAUAGCCCAUCUGUAAAUAGCCCAUCCAACUACCUCAUCCCCAUACUGUAUUUAUUUAUUUAUCUUGAUCCUUUGCACCCCAGUAUCUCUACUUGCACAUUCAUCUUUUGCACAUCUAUCACUCCAGUGUUUAAUUGCUAUAUUGUAAUUACUUUGCCACCAUGGCCUAUUUAUUGCCUUACCUCUCUUAUCAUACCUCAUUUGCACACACUGUAUAUAGACUUUUUGUACUGAAUUAUUGACUGUAUGUUUGUUUAUUCCAUGUGUAACUCUGUGUUGUUGUAUGUGUCGAACUGCUUUGCUUUAUCUUGGCCAGGUCGCAGUUGUAAAUGAGAAUGUGUUCUCAACUAGCCUACCUGGUUAAAUAAAGGUGUUCUCAACUAGCCUACCUGGUUAAAUAAAGGUGUUCUCUACUAGCCUACCUGGUUAAAUAAAGGUGUUCUCAACUAGCCUACCUGGUUAAAUAAAGGUGUUCUCAACUAGCCUACCUGGUUAAAUAAAGGUGUUCUCAACUAGCCUACCUGGUUAAAUAAAGCUGAAAUAAAAUAUAAAAAAAAUGUUCACAAUCCUCG